Molecule: ribosomal RNA, 253 nt
Filed under: uncultured bacterium
Lineage: Bacteria
Description: partial 16S ribosomal RNA
Rfam family: Bacterial small subunit ribosomal RNA
Source: RNAcentral
UACGAAGGGGGCUAGCGUUGCUCGGAAUCACUGGGCGUAAAGGGUGCGUAGGCGGGUCUUUCAGUCAGGGGUGAAAUCCUGGAGCUCAACUCCAGAACUGCCUUUGAUACUGAGGAUCUUGAGUUCGGGAGAGGUGAGUGGAACUGCGAGUGUAGAGGUGAAAUUCGUAGAUAUUCGCAAGAACACCAGUGGCGAAGGCGGCUCACUGGCCCGAUACUGGCGCUGAGGCACGAAAGCGUGGGGAGCAAACAGG